AUUGAACGCUGGCGGAAUGCUUUACACAUGCAAGUCGAGCGGCAGCGCGGGGGCAACCCUGGUGGCGAGUGGCGGACGGGUGAGUAAUACAUCGGAACGUGCCCUGGAGUGGGGGAUAACGUAGCGAAAGUUACGCUAAUACCGCAUAUUCUGUGAGCAGGAAAGCAGGGGAUCGCAAGACCUUGCGCUCUGGGAGCGGCCGAUGUCGGAUUAGCUAGUUGGUGGGGUAAAGGCCUACCAAGGCGACGAUCCGUAGCGGGUCUGAGAGGAUGAUCCGCCACACUGGGACUGAGACACGGCCCAGACUCCUACGGGAGGCAGCAGUGGGGAAUUUUGGACAAUGGGCGAAAGCCUGAUCCAGCCAUGCCGCGUGAGUGAAGAAGGCC
Molecule: ribosomal RNA, 386 nt
Filed under: uncultured bacterium
Lineage: Bacteria
Description: bacterial SSU rRNA
Rfam family: Bacterial small subunit ribosomal RNA
Source: RNAcentral